RNAcentral lists this long non-coding RNA (1063 nucleotides) under Sus scrofa (pig). RNAcentral describes it as "lncRNA (ENSSSCG00055004146.1)". Lineage: Eukaryota; Metazoa; Chordata; Mammalia; Artiodactyla; Suidae. The record is from RNAcentral.
ACUUCCGGGGUGAAACAAACAAAAACGAAAGGCUACCACUGUAGGGCAGGCGAACAAGCAACUGUCGACCAAACCUGCGUGCACACACACUCACACACACACACACACACACACACACACACACACGUUCCUCUCUUUUUCCAAAAAGCCCUCACGGUAAAUAGCCAGGCAGACAAAAGCCUGGGUUUCCGUAUUGCUUUUGUAUGCAGUGGCAGGAAGCAGUUGUCAGCUGCAUCAGUGAAAAAUAACAACGGCAAACACUCAGACACCCAGACACAUGCCACAAUGUUCCCGUGGAAAUCAAACUCUGAGAAAUUUUUAAAAUGUUUUCAACACAUCAGCAUGAAGCAUCGACCUAGUUGGAAUCACUUAGAUCUAAAGCAAAUGCACUGAUUGUUUUCACAGCAGGCUUUUCUUCUUGGAGCUGAAACAGGCGCACUGGCGAGGCUGGCAAGGAACGGUUUUCCAGCCCCCUGCCUUGGUCGGCUAUAGCCUGUGACACGAUCAAUACCGGGGCGAGCGGCGGAGGAAGCUCAGGGAAGAUUAUGAAGAUGAGAGAGGAGUUUUAAGCCUCAGUGUGGUUAAUCAUCUCCAUCACCCUUGUCAUCUGCAUCACCCUCGUCAUCCCAUCACCCUCGUCAACUCCAUCACCCUCAACUCCAUCCCCCUCGUCAUCUCCAUCACCCUCGUCAACUCCAUCACCCUCGUCAACUCCAUCACCCUCGUCAACUCCAUCACCCUCGUCAACUCCAUCACCCUCGUCAUCUCCAUCACCCUCGUCAUCUCCAUCACCCUCAACUCCAUCACCCUCAACUCCAUCACCCUCGUCAUCUGCAUCACCCUCGUCAUCUGCAUCACCCUCAACUCCAUCACCCUCAACUCCAUCACCCUCGUCAACUCCAUCACCCUCAUCAUCUGCAUCACCACUAUCUGCAUCACCAUCAUCAUCAUGUCUCCCAACCCAUCACCCAUUCUCCACAACCUUCAAGUCUUAGCUUAAACAUGGCCUUCUUGCAUUUCCCCAUCUAAAUUCGGAUGCCCACAUUCAAUCAUAAUUCACCAU